GACGAACGCUGGCGGCGUGCUUAACACAUGCAAGUCGAACGGAAAGGCCCUGCUUUUGUGGGGUGCUCGAGUGGCGAACGGGUGAGUAACACGUGAGUAACCUGCCCUUGACUUUGGGAUAACUUCAGGAAACUGGGGCUAAUACCGGAUAGGAGCUCCUGCUGCAUGGUGGGGGUUGGAAAGUUUCGGCGGUUGGGGAUGGACUCGCGGCUUAUCAGCUUGUUGGUGGGGUAGUGGCUUACCAAGGCUUUGACGGGUAGCCGGCCUGAGAGGGUGACCGGCCACAUUGGGACUAAGGUACGGCCCAGACUCCUACGGGAGGCAGCAGUGGGGAAUAUUGCACAAUGGGCGGAAGCCUGAUGCAGCAACGCCGCGUGCGGGAUGACGGCCUUCGGGUUGUAAACCGCUUUCGCCUGUGACGAAGCGUGAGUGGCGGUAAUGGGUAAAGAAGCACCGGCUAACUACGUG
Molecule: ribosomal RNA, 468 nt
Filed under: uncultured bacterium
Lineage: Bacteria
Description: partial 16S ribosomal RNA
Rfam family: Bacterial small subunit ribosomal RNA
Source: RNAcentral